AAGACUCGACUUUCCAGGGUAAUUUCUAUAGUUUAUUACUAGAGAAGAUUCUCUGAAGGUAUAGAGCAUCAAAAAAAUAAUAAUUUAAAAAAGGGAAUAGAAAAUCUGA
Small nucleolar RNA from Callithrix jacchus (white-tufted-ear marmoset), 109 nucleotides. Its record names the gene U3. It matches the Rfam family "Small nucleolar RNA U3". From Rfam's summary of the family: Small nucleolar RNAs (snoRNAs) are involved in the processing and modification of rRNA in the nucleolus. Lineage: Eukaryota; Metazoa; Chordata; Mammalia; Primates; Cebidae. The record is from Ensembl.